AGUACAUUUGCACCGUGUCCUAGAGAGCCUCUAUGCAUUUCAACUCUGAUUCUCCUUCACCAUCUACGCGCAGCCCACAACCGCAGGACCCCACCCCUGGCUCUGAAUCUCCCAUGUCCUGGCGCCAAGCAGGGAUGACAUUUGAGAGCCACCAAAGAUGGGCAGGAAAAACAAAGGCCACCACAGAGGAAGCUGAAGGCAGAAAGAGAUGCAGAGAAAGUGGGAGAAACUCGGCUGUGCUUUGUGGGGGCCCUGCAGGGACAUCAGCUCCUGAAGGGGUGAAAGAAAGGGUCCCCUGAACUUUGACACUGUUCUUCUCGAGGCCUGGCCAGCCCUGUGGCU
Molecule: long non-coding RNA, 342 nt
Filed under: Homo sapiens (human)
Lineage: Eukaryota; Metazoa; Chordata; Mammalia; Primates; Hominidae
Description: HSALNT0388834
Source: RNAcentral